This 2797-nucleotide ribosomal RNA is filed under the name Klebsiella pneumoniae. Its description in RNAcentral is "bacterial LSU rRNA". It matches the Rfam family "Bacterial large subunit ribosomal RNA". The record is from RNAcentral. Lineage: Bacteria; Pseudomonadati; Pseudomonadota; Gammaproteobacteria; Enterobacterales; Enterobacteriaceae.
CGGCGAUGUCCGAAUGGGGAAACCCAGUGCAAUUCGUUGCACUAUCGUUAACUGAAUACAUAGGUUAACGAGGCGAACCGGGGGAACUGAAACAUCUAAGUACCCCGAGGAAAAGAAAUCAACCGAGAUUCCCCCAGUAGCGGCGAGCGAACGGGGAGCAGCCCAGAGUCUGAAUCAGCUUGUGUGUUAGUGGAACGGUCUGGAAAGUCCGACGGUACAGGGUGAUAGUCCCGUACACCAAAAUGCACAGGUUGUGAACUCGAAGAGUAGGGCGGGACACGUGGUAUCCUGUCUGAAUAUGGGGGGACCAUCCUCCAAGGCUAAAUACUCCUGACUGACCGAUAGUGAACCAGUACCGUGAGGGAAAGGCGAAAAGAACCCCGGCGAGGGGAGUGAAAAAGAACCUGAAACCGUGUACGUACAAGCAGUGGGAGCACCUUCGGGUGUGACUGCGUACCUUUUGUAUAAUGGGUCAGCGACUUAUAUUCUGUAGCAAGGUUAACCGUAUAGGGGAGCCGCAGGGAAACCGAGUCUUAACUGGGCGUUAAGUUGCAGGGUAUAGACCCGAAACCCGGUGAUCUAGCCAUGGGCAGGUUGAAGGUUGGGUAACACUAACUGGAGGACCGAACCGACUAAUGUUGAAAAAUUAGCGGAUGACUUGUGGCUGGGGGUGAAAGGCCAAUCAAACCGGGAGAUAGCUGGUUCUCCCCGAAAGCUAUUUAGGUAGCGCCUCGUGAACUCAUCUUCGGGGGUAGAGCACUGUUUCGGCUAGGGGGUCAUCCCGACUUACCAACCCGAUGCAAACUACGAAUACCGAAGAAUGUUAUCACGGGAGACACACGGCGGGUGCUAACGUCCGUCGUGAAGAGGGAAACAACCCAGACCGCCAGCUAAGGUCCCAAAGUCAUGGUUAAGUGGGAAACGAUGUGGGAAGGCACAGACAGCCAGGAUGUUGGCUUAGAAGCAGCCAUCAUUUAAAGAAAGCGUAAUAGCUCACUGGUCGAGUCGGCCUGCGCGGAAGAUGUAACGGGGCUAAACCAUGCACCGAAGCUGCGGCAGCGACACUAUGUGUUGUUGGGUAGGGGAGCGUUCUGUAAGCCUGCGAAGGUGACCUGUGAGGGUUGCUGGAGGUAUCAGAAGUGCGAAUGCUGACAUAAGUAACGAUAAAGCGGGUGAAAAGCCCGCUCGCCGGAAGACCAAGGGUUCCUGUCCAACGUUAAUCGGGGCAGGGUGAGUCGACCCCUAAGGCGAGGCCGAAAGGCGUAGUCGAUGGGAAACAGGUUAAUAUUCCUGUACUUGGUGUUACUGCGAAGGGGGGACGGAGAAGGCUAUGUUAGCCGGGCGACGGUUGUCCCGGUUUAAGCAUGUAGGCUGGUUGUCCAGGCAAAUCCGGAUAAUCAAGGCUGAGGUGUGAUGACGAGGCACUACGGUGCUGAAGUAACAAAUGCCCUGCUUCCAGGAAAAGCCUCUAAGCAUCAGGUAACAUCAAAUCGUACCCCAAACCGACACAGGUGGUCAGGUAGAGAAUACCAAGGCGCUUGAGAGAACUCGGGUGAAGGAACUAGGCAAAAUGGUGCCGUAACUUCGGGAGAAGGCACGCUGGUGUGUAGGUGAAGUCCCUGCGGAUGGAGCUGAGACCAGUCGAAGAUACCAGCUGGCUGCAACUGUUUAUUAAAAACACAGCACUGUGCAAACACGAAAGUGGACGUAUACGGUGUGACGCCUGCCCGGUGCCGGAAGGUUAAUUGAUGGGGUUAUCCGUAAGGAGAAGCUCUUGAUCGAAGCCCCGGUAAACGGCGGCCGUAACUAUAACGGUCCUAAGGUAGCGAAAUUCCUUGUCGGGUAAGUUCCGACCUGCACGAAUGGCGUAAUGAUGGCCAGGCUGUCUCCACCCGAGACUCAGUGAAAUUGAACUCGCUGUGAAGAUGCAGUGUACCCGCGGCAAGACGGAAAGACCCCGUGAACCUUUACUAUAGCUUGACACUGAACAUUGAGCCUUGAUGUGUAGGAUAGGUGGGAGGCUUUGAAGCGUGGACGCCAGUCUGCGUGGAGCCAACCUUGAAAUACCACCCUUUAAUGUUUGAUGUUCUAACGUUGGCCCCUGACCGGGGUUGCGGACAGUGUCUGGUGGGUAGUUUGACUGGGGCGGUCUCCUCCCAAAGCGUAACGGAGGAGCACGAAGGUUAGCUAAUCCUGGUCGGACAUCAGGAGGUUAGUGCAAUGGCAUAAGCUAGCUUGACUGCGAGCGUGACGGCGCGAGCAGGUGCGAAAGCAGGUCAUAGUGAUCCGGUGGUUCUGAAUGGAAGGGCCAUCGCUCAACGGAUAAAAGGUACUCCGGGGAUAACAGGCUGAUACCGCCCAAGAGUUCAUAUCGACGGCGGUGUUUGGCACCUCGAUGUCGGCUCAUCACAUCCUGGGGCUGAAGUAGGUCCCAAGGGUAUGGCUGUUCGCCAUUUAAAGUGGUACGCGAGCUGGGUUUAGAACGUCGUGAGACAGUUCGGUCCCUAUCUGCCGUGGGCGCUGGAGAAUUGAGGGGGGCUGCUCCUAGUACGAGAGGACCGGAGUGGACGCAUCACUGGUGUUCGGGUUGUCAUGCCAAUGGCACUGCCCGGUAGCUAAAUGCGGAAGAGAUAAGUGCUGAAAGCAUCUAAGCACGAAACUUGCCCCGAGAUGAGUUCUCCCUGAGACUUUAAGUCUCCUGAAGGAACGUUGAAGACGACGACGUUGAUAGGCCGGGUGUGUAAGCGCAGCGAUGCGUUGAGCUAACCGGUACUAAUGAACCGUGAGGCUUAACCUU